This 908-nucleotide ribosomal RNA is filed under the name uncultured bacterium. RNAcentral describes it as "bacterial SSU rRNA". It matches the Rfam family "Bacterial small subunit ribosomal RNA", at positions 33 to 932 of the family's 1533-position model. The record is from RNAcentral.
ACGCUGGCGGCAGGCUUAACACAUGCAAGUCGAACGGUAACAGGGAUUAGCUUGCUAAUCUGCUGACGAGUGGCGGACGGGUGAGUAAUGCUUGGGAAUCUGGCUUAUGGAGGGGGAUAACUACGGGAAACUGUAGCUAAUACCGCGUAAAAUCUUCGGAUUAAAGGGUGGGACUUUCGAGCCACCUGCCAUAAGAUGAGCCCAAGUGGGAUUAGGUAGUUGGUUAGGUAAAGGCUGACCAAGCCGACGAUCUCUAGCUGGUCUGAGAGGAUGACCAGCCACACUGGAACUGAGACACGGUCCAGACUCCUACGGGAGGCAGCAGUGGGGAAUAUUGCACAAUGGGGGGAACCCUGAUGCAGCCAUGCCGCGUGAAUGAAGAAGGCCUUCGGGUUGUAAAGUUCUUUCGGUGACGAGGAAGGUUGGUAGGUUAAUAGCCUAUCAAAUUGACGUUAAUCACAGAAGAAGCACCGUCUAACUCCGUGCCAGCAGCCGCGGUAAUACGGGGGGUGCGAGCGUUAAUCGGAAUAACUGGGCGUAAAGGGCACGCAGGCGGUGACUUAAGUGAGAUGUGAAAGCCCCGAGCUUCACUUGGGAAUUGCAUUUCAUACUGGGUCGCUAGAGUACUUUAGGGAGGGGUAGAAUUCCACGUGUAGCGGUGAAAUGCGUAGAGAUGUGGAGGAAUACCGAAGGCGAAGGCAGCCCCUUGGGAAUGUACUGACGCUCAUGUGCGAAAGCGUGGGGAGCAAACAGGAUUAGAUACCCUGGUAGUCCACGCUGUAAACGAUGUCGAUUUGGGGAUUGGGCUUUGAGCUUGGUGCCCGUAGCUAACGUGAUAAAUCGACCGCCUGGGGAGUACGGCCGCAAGGUUAAAACUCAAAUGAAUUGACGGGGGCCCGCACAAGCGG